Molecule: long non-coding RNA, 752 nt
Organism: Mastomys coucha (southern multimammate mouse)
Lineage: Eukaryota; Metazoa; Chordata; Mammalia; Rodentia; Muridae
Exons: 3
Source: RefSeq, a predicted model, not a curated record
CUUGUUGAAGAUCUUCAAGUGAGCUCCACUGAGCUUAACUACUCAGUAAAACAGAUUAUCUAAACUGACAUCUAUCAAAAGUAUAGAGACCCCGUCCUGUGAAUGAUUUCAGUGCCAACGCCUGAACUGAGAGCCAUGGUCUCGUAUCUUCAACCUUUACUGUUCUUGGUAGAAUAGCACAUUUAUCCUGAUAAUAAUGACUGCAAGCUGCUUGGUACCUAGGGCCACAAACAGCGAAGCCUGCCUUGAACAGAUGAGCAUUUGGGGGAUCGUACUUCAUAGAGAAACCAGAAGGAGAUGAAUAAAGUAGACCACAGCAAAGAAUUGUGAUAGGAAAGCCAAGACAGCAGAGUGCAGCUCUGACUGAUAAGUGUCGUUUAUGCGGAGGAGACAGCUUGGCAGGUGAAGCUCAGGGGCCUGAGUUCCGGUCUCCAGCAGCGAUCCAAACCCAGGACAAGAACUAAUGCUCUAAUUUUGAGGAUUCAAGGACCACUUUUGCCCAUUCUUCAUCAGAGAUUGCACUAUUCAAGUACUUUGCUUCUUUUAGAUGAAUGCCCUAAUUUGUUCCUGUUAUACAGACAGAGAAAGCUGAGUUCUAUAUUAAAAAGGUCUCAUCACCGGCUUCAGACACCUUGAAAUAUAGAAUACAAAGAAAGUAGCACUGAAUGAAUGAAAGCAUCUUUGACUUUAGGAUGAAAGCCCCUAAGGUAGAACGUCAAGAUGAGCUGUUUUUGAAUAGACAAUCACAGAGG